Peromyscus leucopus (white-footed mouse) is the source of this 2072-nucleotide long non-coding RNA. RefSeq lists it as uncharacterized. The record is from RefSeq and is a predicted model, not a curated record. Lineage: Eukaryota; Metazoa; Chordata; Mammalia; Rodentia; Cricetidae. The transcript is spliced from 3 exons.
GGCUUCCGACCAGCUGAGCUAAAUCCCCAGCCCACGGUACUUUCGUCGAUACAUAAUGAACAAGAAGGAGGCUCGUGGAGGUGUAAAGAGAGUAAAAUCAGGACUUUUGGCAAAGUGCAGAUAGAGUGUUAAAAACGGAAACUAAGAGAAGGAUUGGGCAUAGCGUGGAAGGCCGAGGUCUACAGGGCCAGGGCAGUGGAUGCUGGGAAAUCAGACUGCCCACUGAGCUCAUGGUCCCUGGCUAUUCUGCCCACUCUGCCCUUAGGGCUCCCAGCAUUGGCCCUGUGGCAGUUUACUGGAUUGUUUUAUUUAUAAUUCUGUGGAUUGGUUCCCUGAUGUUUAAGCAUUAGCUGUGUUUCUUUGAGCCGUGGUGGAUUCUUUCUUGGAACAGCUUCGGCAGAACCUGUCCUGGCUGGGGCGGAGUUGCUAGGCAACCAGGCCUCAGCCUACAGCUGAGUUACUGCAGUGCCUUCCAGUCCCUGUCCUAAUCCACAACACUCGCCCUCCCCUAGCUGACUCAGCAAGUUAAGAAAUGCUCUAGCCACUCAUUUGCAAACAGCCCCGCCCUGAACACACCCGACCACACACUGUGUGUGUGUGAAAUGUGUCAUAAGAUUUUAUUUGAAAAAAGACCUUCUUGGCUUAAAAUAAAAACCUUGAAUUUUAGGCAGUGUUAGUGAUAUCACGAGCAUUAUUUCCCACACAGGGCUGAGAAAAGAGCUGCAGAUGCAAGGACAGAUACAGACAAAAUGUUCGAGGACCCAGAGGAUCUAAGGGACACCCCUUGAAAACAAGCUGCCAAGGUGGUUUGGGUGCUAGGAACCCCCAGUCCUGAUGACACACCCACCCAAGGAUGGCCACCAGUGCAUGAGUGUCAUGUGUGAUGGUCUGUUUAGAUCCGUGGAAUGUGACGUGGUCUCCACGUGGUCAGUGCUGGAGGAGAUGAGACCAGCAGCAGAAACGUGUGAGGUGGAAGGCAAGGACGUUUCUUUCCUUCAAAGAGAAUGACCAAGAGAUGGUCUACUGCAUCAAGGAGAGAAGGUCGUCCCAGCAAUUUCUAGACAUCAUGACGUACGUCUAGAUAUACUCUAUAAUCAGUUACAGUGGAAGCUAAGACCUAGCCUCAACUGUUUAAUCUUCUCCUUUUGUUCACGGUAAUGACAUUUUCAGCCGGGCCGACAGCACUGCAAAUAAACAUCACAUUUCCCAUCUCGUCGAGAAACGUUUCCUGGGAAGCUCUGAGGCUGUUGACCUCUGCUUCUCCUUCCUUCAAUCUGGACAGUCAGCUAGGACUAUGGACAGCUAUGUCACAUGACCAGAUGACCCCAGAACCAAGAAUGGAAUCACAAGAAGCAAAUGCAGAGAGUGUUAAACCUGCUCUGGAUCAUCACACUCACAGUUGUGGCAUCAGGAGACAGUGGCCUUGUAGGAGGAAUUCCAUAGAAUGCCUUUCCUGCCAUUAUGUGGAACAGUCUGAGGAGAGCUCUUCCUUAAAAGGCUGGAGACAACAAAAACCACUGGAUUUUCCUGCUGCUUUUACAGCCAGUGAUAACUGAAGAUGAAGAUGAAGGUUUCCAAAGGCUGUUUUCUCAGCACCGUGCCAGGAGGUGGUGGGAUUUCCUGUCCUGAAUGCAGAUGUGCAGUCUACUUUGUAACUGUGGCAGUAAACAUGGGGAAAACAACAUCACAGAGACUUCUGUGAGAGCAUUUACACACUCCCAGACACCUCCCGCAAUGGAGCAAGCCCUUCUUGUUUUAAGUUAUCAUAACAGGACUCUUCAGAGAAGCACAGUCACCAGUUAUGCAUUUAGGAUGUAUUUAGAAAGAAAUUUAAGACACUGUAUUUCUGGAUACUGGCAGGUCCAAACCUGGGGCUCGGACUGAAGACCUGGAAAGGAGCUGGACUUGCAGCUGUGGUCUGCAGCUGGCUGAAGAGCACCAUACUGCUCAGGAGAGGUAUUCUAUCCAGGCCUUCAGCUGACCGGAUGAGGCCCACCCACGUUAUGGAAGGCAAUGUGCCUUACUUACUCUACCAACUUAUAUGUCACCCUCAUUCAACUGUGCCCCUUGGA